GCAGGCUUCCCCGUUCCGAAAGAAUAAAAGAUGGCUGCCGCCGAUCGCUCGGGCAUUGGCUACUCGCACCUGUCGGCGCGCCUUUGCGUGAGAUCGAGACGACGACGAAGAAAGGAGCACGCGCCUGGAAGCUUCAUCUGCUACGCGGGGAGAACGCCCAGCAAGAAGCCGUUUCCCUGCAAGUGCUCACUCGUCAAAGCGCCAUGAAGCGAGAGAGCGCGUACGCGCCAGGCGCCGGCCUACAGCUUCCCGUGCUCAUCAGCACUGGGGCUUGCGGCGAGGACUCCUGCGGCUUCGUCUCGCCCAUAAAGCUGGACCACUGGUGCCGGACAUCGUCUGCUCUGGCCAGCGAAGUCAUGUCCAGCUGGAAGGGGCUCCGCAGAGCGGUGCACGCCGACUGGAGCGGCAGACGACCAGCAGGACGGCAUGCGAGCAGCUGGGUCAAUGUCGAGCCUAGCUCCUUCCGGAAGCUAAACCUGCGCAAGUACAGCGGUGACGACGUCAUCGAGCGAGGAAGCUUCGUGGGUGAGCGCAGCCGUGGCGGGGUUCGGGCCACAGAAAUUCAUCGCCGGUGCUCCCAGGGUCUUCCCGUGGCGAGCCCAGCGUCGGCGUCCGUGGCUGCCGGUAUCGCAUGCUCUCCAACACAACGUCUGGCGCUGAGGAGGCGCUGGUGAAGUGCUGCAGCUGUGCUCGCGAGGAAUCUGCAGCAGCACAUCAAGCGGGGCUUGGGGUGUUGGUGCUGCCGGCCAGCAGCACCCGCACCACAAGACUUUUGAACUGUGAUUUGGUGAAUUUUUUUUCAGUCUUGAUUCUUCUUCUUUUCUAUAAUUGUAAAAUGAUGUUUAUGUGUAAGCGAAAUAUAACACGUCAUUGUGUCUAUAA
Molecule: non-coding RNA, 882 nt
Organism: Dermacentor albipictus
Lineage: Eukaryota; Metazoa; Arthropoda; Arachnida; Ixodida; Ixodidae
Source: RefSeq, a predicted model, not a curated record